Molecule: ribosomal RNA, 504 nt
Filed under: Ephemera sp. EP186
Lineage: Eukaryota; Metazoa; Arthropoda; Insecta; Ephemeroptera; Ephemeridae
Description: partial 16S ribosomal RNA
Rfam family: Bacterial large subunit ribosomal RNA
Source: RNAcentral
CGUCUUUUGAAUAUAUAGAAGAUAUAACCUGCCCACUGAAAAUUGAAGGGCCGCGGUAUUGUGACCGUGCAAAGGUAGCAUAAUCAUUAGUCUUCUAAUUAAAGGCUGGAAUGAAUGGUUGGACGAGGUAAAAGCUGUCUCACUCAAAAUAUUUAAAAUUUAACGUUUUAGUGAAAAGGCUAAAAUGAAGUUGGAGGACGAGAAGACCCUAUAGAGCUUAAUAAUGAAAUUAAAAUGUAAUUUAGAAGAAGUGUUAUUUUUAAUUAAUUUAUUUUGUUGGGGUGACAGGAAAAUAAAUAAACUUUUUUAUAGAGAGUACAUAAAUGAAUGGGUAUUUGAUCCGUUAUUAGCGAUUAUAAGAUCAAGUUACCUUAGGGAUAACAGCGUAAUCCUUUUUGAGAGUUCAUAUCGACAAAAGGGUUUGCGACCUCGAUGUUGGACUAAGAAAAUAUUUGGGUGUAGAUGUUCAAAUGUUAGGUCUGUUCGACCUUUAAAUUCUUACAU